CGGCAGACGGACAUCGAUCGCUCGCAGAUCGGUGACCAGGCGCGACGGUUUGUCACGCGCGGGAUGCUUGGCUUAGCCGACCACCGCGCCGACCACGCCGGCCGGAAACCGCAUGCGUAUCCUGAUCCCAUGGCUGCCUCCAUGGUCUACCUGAAGCACAGCUAUCCACCCAUCCACUAUCGUGAAAGCGUGCGCAUCAUCCAGCGCAAGGAUGGCUACGUCACCAACCAUAGCACCGUCAAGCGCUUGUUGGCGGGACAUCCUGUGCCGGUCCAGUGACCGUUGCACCUCACCCACUUGCAUGCGUUUGAUGCUGCCUAGCAAGCCCGCUGGACUGUGGU
This 341-nucleotide unclassified non-coding RNA is filed under the name plant metagenome. RNAcentral's name for it is "partial contains 5.8S ribosomal RNA, internal transcribed spacer 2, and large subunit ribosomal RNA". The record is from RNAcentral.